GAAGACUACGAGCAUAAGCUUAAAAAUCAAAGGAUUUGGCGGCGCUUUAGACCUCCUAGAGGAGCUUGUCCUGUAAUCGACACUCCUCGUUCAACCUUACCUUCUCUAGCCUACAGCCUAUAUACCGCCGUCAUAAGUUCACCCUUCGAAGGUUUUGCAAUGGACAAAAUCGGCUAAUGCCCCUAAAGUCAGGUCAAGGUAUAGCAUACGAGAAGGAAAGAGAUGAGCUACACUUCCUACACAGGACUUACGGAAAAUUUUUUGAAAUAAAAAUCAAAGUAGAAUUUAGCAGUAAGUGAAAAAUAGAGUGUUUU
This 314-nucleotide ribosomal RNA is filed under the name Gnatholebias zonatus. RNAcentral describes it as "partial 12S ribosomal RNA". It matches the Rfam family "Bacterial small subunit ribosomal RNA", at positions 875 to 1360 of the family's 1533-position model. The record is from RNAcentral. Lineage: Eukaryota; Metazoa; Chordata; Actinopteri; Cyprinodontiformes; Rivulidae.